CAUCAGAGAUGGUGCCCCCCUUGUGGUCGGUAUACAGGUGGUGCAUGGCUGUCGUCAGCUCGUGUCGUGAGAUGUUGGGUUAAGUCCCGCAACGAGCGCAACCCUUGUUCUGUGUUGCCAGCAUGCCUUUCGGGGUGAUGGGGACUCACAGGAGACUGCCGGGGUCAACUCGGAGGAAGGUGGGGACGACGUCAAGUCAUCAUGCCCCUUAUGUCUUGGGCUGCACACGUGCUACAAUGGCCGGUACAAUGAGCU
Molecule: ribosomal RNA, 255 nt
Filed under: Streptomyces griseus
Lineage: Bacteria; Bacillati; Actinomycetota; Actinomycetes; Kitasatosporales; Streptomycetaceae
Description: partial 16S ribosomal RNA
Rfam family: Bacterial small subunit ribosomal RNA
Source: RNAcentral